RNAcentral lists this ribosomal RNA (256 nucleotides) under uncultured bacterium. Its description in RNAcentral is "partial 16S ribosomal RNA". It matches the Rfam family "Bacterial small subunit ribosomal RNA", at positions 524 to 776 of the family's 1533-position model. The record is from RNAcentral.
GACGUAGGUGGCGAACGUUAUCCGGAAUUAUUGGGCGUAAAGGGUGCGUAGGCGGCCUGAUAAGUUAGCAGUGGUAAAUCGAGGCUCAACCUCGCGGAAACUGGUAAUACUGUCUGGCUUGAGUACAGGAGAGGUUAACGGAACUCCAUGUGGAGCGGUAAAAUGUGAAGAUAUAUGGAAGAACAUCAAUAAUGGCGAAGGCAGUUAACUAUUCUGUUACUGACGUUGAGGCACGAAAGCGUGGGGAGCAAAACGG